RNAcentral lists this ribosomal RNA (953 nucleotides) under Klebsiella pneumoniae. RNAcentral describes it as "bacterial SSU rRNA". It matches the Rfam family "Bacterial small subunit ribosomal RNA", at positions 579 to 1532 of the family's 1533-position model. Lineage: Bacteria; Pseudomonadati; Pseudomonadota; Gammaproteobacteria; Enterobacterales; Enterobacteriaceae. The record is from RNAcentral.
UCUGUCAAGUCGGAUGUGAAAUCCCCGGGCUCAACCUGGGAACUGCAUUCGAAACUGGCAGGCUAGAGUCUUGUAGAGGGGGGUAGAAUUCCAGGUGUAGCGGUGAAAUGCGUAGAGAUCUGGAGGAAUACCGGUGGCGAAGGCGGCCCCCUGGACAAAGACUGACGCUCAGGUGCGAAAGCGUGGGGAGCAAACAGGAUUAGAUACCCUGGUAGUCCACGCCGUAAACGAUGUCGAUUUGGAGGUUGUGCCCUUGAGGCGUGGCUUCCGGAGCUAACGCGUUAAAUCGACCGCCUGGGGAGUACGGCCGCAAGGUUAAAACUCAAAUGAAUUGACGGGGGCCCGCACAAGCGGUGGAGCAUGUGGUUUAAUUCGAUGCAACGCGAAGAACCUUACCUGGUCUUGACAUCCACAGAACUUAGCAGAGAUGCUUUGGUGCCUUCGGGAACUGUGAGACAGGUGCUGCAUGGCUGUCGUCAGCUCGUGUUGUGAAAUGUUGGGUUAAGUCCCGCAACGAGCGCAACCCUUAUCCUUUGUUGCCAGCGGUCCGGCCGGGAACUCAAAGGAGACUGCCAGUGAUAAACUGGAGGAAGGUGGGGAUGACGUCAAGUCAUCAUGGCCCUUACGACCAGGGCUACACACGUGCUACAAUGGCAUAUACAAAGAGAAGCGACCUCGCGAGAGCAAGCGGACCUCAUAAAGUAUGUCGUAGUCCGGAUUGGAGUCUGCAACUCGACUCCAUGAAGUCGGAAUCGCUAGUAAUCGUAGAUCAGAAUGCUACGGUGAAUACGUUCCCGGGCCUUGUACACACCGCCCGUCACACCAUGGGAGUGGGUUGCAAAAGAAGUAGGUAGCUUAACCUUCGGGAGGGCGCUUACCACUUUGUGAUUCAUGACUGGGGUGAAGUCGUAACAAGGUAACCGUAGGGGAACCUGCGGUUGGAUCACCUCCUU